RNAcentral lists this unclassified non-coding RNA (386 nucleotides) under uncultured Elusimicrobia bacterium. Its description in RNAcentral is "contains 16S-23S intergenic spacer region". The record is from RNAcentral. Lineage: Bacteria; Pseudomonadati; Elusimicrobiota; Elusimicrobia.
UCCUUCUUAUCGAAGGCAGUUUCCUAAGAGUGCAUCCCUUGCGGGAUUGGCAACAUAGGAUGGGGGUUGCGCUCGUUGCGGGACUUAACCCAACAUCUCACGACACGAGCUGACGACAACCAUGCAGCACCUCUGCUGGUUACCGAUUUGACGGUUCGCCUCAACUUUCAUCAAGACUACUUCCAGUAGUUCAAGCCUAGGUAAGGUUCUUCGCGUUGCGUCGAAUUAAACCACAUGCUCCACCGCUUGUGCGGGCCCCCGUCAAUUCCUUUGAGUUUCAACCUUGCGGCCGUACUCCCCAGGCGGCACAUUUAAUGCGUUUGCGUCGGCACGAAGGGGGUCGAUACCCCUCACGCCUAAUGUGCAUCGUUUACAGCUAGGACUAC